This 802-nucleotide long non-coding RNA is filed under the name Sarcophilus harrisii (Tasmanian devil). RNAcentral describes it as "lncRNA (ENSSHAG00000025858.1)". Lineage: Eukaryota; Metazoa; Chordata; Mammalia; Dasyuromorphia; Dasyuridae. The record is from RNAcentral.
UGGUAACAGCAAAAUCAACAGCAAUCAGAUCUGGAAAGCCAAUAUGCUCACUGCCAUAAAACUGAAAAGAGAGCUCAUUGUGCCUUGGGCACAGCAUCAGGUUUAAUAGAAAAGUAGGCAUGUUUAUAGUCUCAGAUUUACAACAUGACUUAUAAACACCUUAUUACUUAGAGUCCAGUCUGCUGUCCUAGAAACUAAGAAUGUGACUUUGUUAAGCAGAAGAAUUUGUUGACAUAAAGGUCUUGACUCAGUUGGCCUUUGUGGUUAACCAAAAUGCAUUUACUCCUGAGAAAGUCAACACCAGCAAACAAAAUGCCUCUUAUACUACAAUACGAUUAAAAGAACUCAUCAGUGUUUCAUCAGGUCUGGAGCAAAAGAUGAAAAGAUUUGCCCAACAUGAAUCUUCUUAGCAGAUUUUCCCAGCUAUGAGAAUCAGAAGAAAAGCAGUUAGUGAAGCUGCAGCAAAUAUUCCUGAAUGGAUCAAUGACAAGGCCUACCCAGUCUAAAGUAAUGAGUUGCCUAGAGCAAAUGUUUUUUUUUUCCUUUUCCAUGUGUAUUUUUUCCAGGUUUCUGUAAGUAUGUACCCACUGUCCCCCUCAGAUGACGAUUACAUUGGUGGACAAGUGUUAUUGUGUUAUAUUGAUCAUUCUUGUACUUAUUUGUAUUGAGUAACUGUGAUAUAUUAUUUUAUUUUUUAUCUUAUUAAGUAAAUGUUCAAAAGGAAAAGAAAGAAAGGAAAGGAAAGGAAGGGAGAGAGGGAGGGAGAGAGGAAGUUAACAUAGUUUGGGAAAAAAUAAAACAG